This 284-nucleotide ribosomal RNA is filed under the name Blautia schinkii. RNAcentral's name for it is "partial 16S ribosomal RNA". It matches the Rfam family "Bacterial small subunit ribosomal RNA", at positions 494 to 776 of the family's 1533-position model. The record is from RNAcentral. Lineage: Bacteria; Bacillati; Bacillota; Clostridia; Lachnospirales; Lachnospiraceae.
UAUUUUCCUUUUUUUCCCUCAGCCGCGGUAAUACGUAGGGGGCAAGCGUUAUCCGGAUUUACUGGGUGUAAAGGGAGCGUAGACGGAUUAGCAAGUCUGAUGUGAAAGGCAGGGGCUCAACCCCUGGACUGCAUUGGAAACUGCCAGUCUUGAGUGCCGGAGAGGUAAGCGGAAUUCCUAGUGUAGCGGUGAAAUGCGUAGAUAUUAGGAGGAACACCAGUGGCGAAGGCGGCUUACUGGACGGCAACUGACGUUGAGGCUCGAAAGCGUGGGGAGCAAACAGG